Molecule: ribosomal RNA, 505 nt
Filed under: uncultured bacterium
Lineage: Bacteria
Description: partial 16S ribosomal RNA
Rfam family: Bacterial small subunit ribosomal RNA
Source: RNAcentral
GACGAACGCUGGCGGCGUGCCUAAUACAUGCGAGUAGAACGCACAGUUUAUACCGUAGCUUGCUACACCAUAGACUGUGAGUUGCGAACGGGUGAGUAACGCGUAGGUAACCUGCCUGGUAGCGGGGGAUAACUAUUGGAAACGAUAGCUAAUACCGCAUAAUAUUGAUUAUUGCAUGAUAAUUGAUUGAAAGAUGCUAUUGCAUCACUACCAGAUGGACCUGCGUUGUAUUAGCUAGUAGGUGAGGUAACGGCUCACCUAGGCGACGAUACAUAGCCGACCUGAGAGGGUGAGCGGCCACACUGGGACUGAGACACGGCCAAGACUCCUACGGGAGGCAGCAGUAGGGAAUCUUCGGCAAUGGACGAAAGUCUGACCGAGCAACGCCGCGUGAGUGAAGAAGGUUUUCGGAUCGUAAAGCUCUGUUGUAAGAGAAGAACGGGUGUGAGAGUGGAAAGUUCACACUGUGACGGUAUCUUACCAGAAAGGGACGGCUAACUACGUG